This 68-nucleotide transfer RNA is filed under the name Alaria americana. Its description in RNAcentral is "tRNA-Phe". Lineage: Eukaryota; Metazoa; Platyhelminthes; Trematoda; Diplostomida; Diplostomidae. The record is from RNAcentral.
GUUUCUUUAGCUUAAAGUUUAAUAAAGUGUUAGUUUGAAGGGCUAGCGAUACUAUUAUGUAGGAGACG